UGGCGGCAGGCCUAACACAUGCAAGUCGAGCGGAAACGACAACAUUGACCCUUCGGGUGAUUUGUUGGGCGUCGAGCGGCGGACGGGUGAGUAAUGCCUGGGAAAUUGCCCUGAUGUGGGGGAUAACCAUUGGAAACGAUGGCUAAUACCGCAUAACGUCUACGGACCAAAGAGGGGGACCUUCGGGCCUCUCGCUUCAGGAUAUGCCCAGGUGGGAUUAGCUAGUUGGUGAGGUAAUGGCUCACCAAGGCGACGAUCCCUAGCUGGUCUGAGAGGAUGAUCAGCCACACUGGAACUGAGACACGGUCCAGACUCCUACGGGAGGCAGCAGUGGGGAAUAUUGCACAAUGGGCGCAAGCCUGAUGCAGCCAUGCCGCGUGUAUGAAGAAGGCCUUCGGGUUGUAAAGUACUUUCAGUCGUGAGGAAGGCGUUGAAGUUAAUAGCUUCAUCGUUUGACGUUAGCGACAGAAGAAGCACCGGCUAACU
RNAcentral lists this ribosomal RNA (486 nucleotides) under marine sediment bacterium ISA-1291. RNAcentral's name for it is "bacterial SSU rRNA". It matches the Rfam family "Bacterial small subunit ribosomal RNA", at positions 37 to 502 of the family's 1533-position model. The record is from RNAcentral.